AAAGCCUUUCUCAGCUGGGUAGGUUCUCGGCAGCACCUUCCGUGACUUCAGGGGAUUUGUUCUCAGCAGGAAAGGCUGCUCAGAGAACUUGGGCCCAUUUCUGUUUAAGCCUUCUUGUGGAACGUUUCUCCAACAGCACCAGAGAAAACAAGAACAUUCAUCACUGGGACUCAGGGCGGGUGUAAUACAGAGCGCUGCUGAAUCAGCUUUCCAGCUGUUCCUGAAGGGAGGGAUCUGUUGUGCAUCUUCGUGGAGACGUGGCCGUGACACAGCUCUCUGGCCAUGGUGCUCUGUAAGUGACACGUCUGAUGCUUGUUUCUUUAUGAGGCCUGGUCAGUGCAAGUGCAUCGCCCAUAGCUGCAGAGUCCCUGCCGAUUGCAGGUGUACAGACGCGGCUGUGUGA
Molecule: long non-coding RNA, 403 nt
Filed under: Anser brachyrhynchus (Pink-footed goose)
Lineage: Eukaryota; Metazoa; Chordata; Aves; Anseriformes; Anatidae
Description: lncRNA (ENSABRG00000018165.1)
Source: RNAcentral